CCGAGAAAACCUUUGUAUCCACCUCUUCCACCACGACCAGGAAGCCACAGCAAUUCUGGAGGUUUUAAUGACUUAGAUCUCCUUGAUGGGAAGCCUUUACCACCACAACUAUCAGGAGAAGAUGAGCAUCAUUUUAAUCAUGGAGGAAAUACUGAUUCAGGAUUAAUAGCUGGAGUUACAUCUCCUAUAAUUUCUGCUUUUGUAAUAUUAGUUGUUGGAUCAAUAGCAG
Long non-coding RNA from Rhea pennata, 229 nucleotides. RefSeq lists it as uncharacterized. Lineage: Eukaryota; Metazoa; Chordata; Aves; Rheiformes; Rheidae. The record is from RefSeq and is a predicted model, not a curated record. The transcript has 4 exons.